This 411-nucleotide long non-coding RNA is filed under the name Solanum tuberosum (potato). Its description in RNAcentral is "long non-coding RNA (STUB_LNC003720)". The record is from RNAcentral. Lineage: Eukaryota; Viridiplantae; Streptophyta; Magnoliopsida; Solanales; Solanaceae.
UGGAUGUUGAUGUUACAAAAUGCAGAAUUAUUUUAUCUUGCGUAUAGUUGGAUGCAUUAGAUACCUUAAACUAUUUAUCUCACCAUAUAUAUCAUAAUGAUAAAACAAGUUAUCUCAUAUAUAUGAUGAUUAACUUAUCCCAAGAUAACUUAUCAUAGGAUAGCUUGUUCUCAAACAAACGAGGGUGUCUGCUAUGAGCAUGAGAGAUAAAAUUAUAUAUUAUGUGUUGGAUUAAAAACAUUAAUGUAAUUAAUACCACAAUUAUUUAUUUUAGCACUUAUACUCUAAUCAUAUCCUUUUCAAAUAAUCACUUAAAGUCCAAGUUAAAUCAAUACUUAAAAGGUGGAAUGACGUGGAAGACCCUUGUAUUCGACUUCGUUUGUCACUUAAAUCCUUUUACUUAGAUAAAAA